This 484-nucleotide ribosomal RNA is filed under the name uncultured bacterium. RNAcentral describes it as "partial 16S ribosomal RNA". It matches the Rfam family "Bacterial small subunit ribosomal RNA", at positions 29 to 507 of the family's 1533-position model. The record is from RNAcentral.
AUUGAACGCUGGCGGCAUGCUUUACACAUGCAAGUCGAACGGCAGCGCGGGCUUCGGCCUGGCGGCGAGUGGCGAACGGGUGAGUAAUACAUCGGAACGUGCCCAGUAGUGGGGGAUAGCUCGGCGAAAGCCGGAUUAAUACCGCAUCCGACCUGAGGGUGAAAGCGGGGGAUCUUCGGACCUCGCGCUAUUGGAGCGGCCGAUGGCAGAUUAGCUAGUUGGUGGGGUAAAGGCCUACCAAGGCGACGAUCUGUAGCUGGUCUGAGAGGACGACCAGCCACACCGGGACUGAGACACGGCCCAGACUCCUACGGGAGGCAGCAGUGGGGAAUUUUGGACAAUGGGCGAAAGCCUGAUCCAGCAAUGCCGCGUGUGUGAUGAAGGCCUUCGGGUUGUAAAGCACUUUUGGCGGGAACGAAAAGGACUGUGCCAAUACCACGGUUCGAUGACGGUACCCGCAGAAUAAGCACCGGCUAACUACGUG